AUUAUAAAAGGUUGUUAAACAACGUGUAGUUAAAGGAAUAUAAAAGUGCAAUUGCAGGGUUACUAUUGUACUCAGUAACACAAGGGAGUAGUCCUUUGCUUUUUCUGCUCUUAUACAACAACCUGUCCUUUUCUGUUUUACUGUGUAUAUAUUUAUAAAGUAAAAGGGUUGCAUAUGAAAUAAUUAUUCACAUACUGCUCCAUCACAAUAGAGUACUAGUCUUGCUAUAACCCACUCCCACAGUAUACACUGACUGCCCUGUAAACGUAUGUAACUCUUUAGUGCCUUGCAUCCUCACUAAGAGAAAUUCCACCAUGUUAACUGAGCCCCGCUGUUCUGACGGACUUAAGUCCAGUGACUGAAAGAUAGAUUAACUACGGACCUGUGAGGUCCAUCAGAAACGGUUUCAGAAACGUAAAUGUGUAAUGUGGAGGUUAUAACAAAUGGACUAGAAGUCUGUGUCCAGAGAGACAAGUGAUGUUCUUACACACGACUGAUUAAUAGACAGCAGGGCACACUGGGUUUGCAUUAAAAAUCUAGAGUCAUCAGCAGAACAGCGUUUCUUUUUGUGUGUAAGCUGUAUAUCCUAUACUGGUUAUGGAAUACGGUGGGCGAUUUGGGGAGUUCCUGAAUGAACCAAUCAGAAAAGUGUUGCACAGCAGCACUUGUUUUACGUAGAGGAGAAAACUAAACAUAUUUCUCCCCAUUGGCACUAUUCCUUGCUCCUUUGCCACCUCACAUGAUAAGUGCCAUUCCCCUCACUACAGCUACCACCUCACCUACCCUUGCCUGGAUUGAACAACUUCUAAAUUCUCUAGAGAAUAUUAAGUUACUGCAAUGCAGAAUAUGCAAUGUUUCAAGUUUUAUAGGGAGUGAUGGGAAAUGGAUAUGUUCACAUACCGAGGGUUGUUACUGACUUGACGAAGUGUUUUGAUAUUGGGAAACCCUAGAUCCUACUUUUUUCUUUGUUCGUUAUUCUUUGCCUUGCUCUGAGUCCACAGUGCCGAUGUUGGUUUGCCAUUCACAGCUGUCACAGGCAAAUGUUUCAGUUAGUCUUACAAUAUCUGCAUUUCUGGAAGUUUGCAUGUUAACCGAUUUUAGAACUUAGACUUACCUAGAACACAACCCACCAAUCCACUGUACAGCCCAUGGUAAUUUAUCAUAUUAACAGUAAGUAGUUAUUUAUCCUCAAGUAGUUGGAAGAUUCUCUUGGCACAUUCUCUCAUCACUUAAAAUUACUAAAAUAAGUUAUUUCAUGUUGUUUUCUUGGAUUUCUGUCUGUUUUCUCUGGC
Esox lucius (northern pike) is the source of this 1292-nucleotide long non-coding RNA. Lineage: Eukaryota; Metazoa; Chordata; Actinopteri; Esociformes; Esocidae. The record is from Ensembl.